AGUUAAUUAAGCUUUAGAUAAGCAUGUACUUUGAAAGCACAAGACAGAGGUUUAAUUCCUCUAUUAACUU
This 70-nucleotide transfer RNA is filed under the name Geocoris pallidipennis. RNAcentral's name for it is "tRNA-Ser". It matches the Rfam family "tRNA". Rfam says of the family: Transfer RNA (tRNA) molecules are approximately 80 nucleotides in length. Their secondary structure includes four short double-helical elements and three loops (D, anti-codon, and T loops). Lineage: Eukaryota; Metazoa; Arthropoda; Insecta; Hemiptera; Geocoridae. The record is from RNAcentral.